GACGAACGCUGGCGGCGUGCUUAACACAUGCAAGUCGAGCGGUAAGGCUCCUUCGGGAGUACACGAGCGGCGCACGGGUGAGUAACACGUGAGUAAUCUGCCCUUCACUUCGGGAUAACCACCGGAAACGGUGGCUAAUACCGAAUACGACCAGUCUUCGCAUGAGGUGCUGGUGGAAAGUCUUUUCGGUGAAGGAUGUGCUCGCGGCCUAUCAGCUUGUUGGUGGGGUAAUGGCCUACCAAGGCUUCGACGGGUAGCCGGCCUGAGAGGGUGACCGGCCACACUGGGACUGAGACACGGCCCAGACUCCUACGGGAGGCAGCAGUGGGGAAUAUGGGACAAUGGGCGAAAGCCUGAUCCAGCAACGCCGCGUGAGGGAUGACGGACGUCGGGUUGUAAACCUCUUUCAGUACAGACGAAGCGCCCUGUCGGGUGGUGACGGUAGGUACAGAAGAAGGACCGGCCAACUACGUG
This 474-nucleotide ribosomal RNA is filed under the name uncultured bacterium. RNAcentral describes it as "partial 16S ribosomal RNA". It matches the Rfam family "Bacterial small subunit ribosomal RNA", at positions 28 to 507 of the family's 1533-position model. The record is from RNAcentral.